GGGCCCGCACAAGCAGCGGAGCGUGUGGUUUAAUUCGAUGCUACACGAAGAACCUUACCUGGGUUUGACAUAUAGGUUGUAGGGAACUGAAAGGGACCGACCCUUCGGGGAGCCUAUACAGGUGUUGCAUGGCUGUCGUCAGCUCGUGUCGUGAGAUGUUCGGUUAAGUCCGCUAACGAGCGCAACCCUCGUCGUAUGUUAUAUGUGUCAUACGAGACUGCCGGUAAAAAGCCGGAGGAAGGUGAGGAUGAUGUCAAGUCAGCAUGACCUUUAUAUCCAGGGCUACACACACGCUACAAUGGGUCUGUACAAUGGGUAGCCAAGCCGCGAGGCGGAGCCAAUCCUGAAAGCAGGCCUCAGUUCAGAUUGCAGUCUGCAACUCGACUGCAUGAAGCCGGAGUUGCUAGUAACCGCAGGUCAGCAAUACUGCGGUGAAUACGUUCCCGGGGCUU
This 452-nucleotide ribosomal RNA is filed under the name uncultured Anaerolineaceae bacterium. RNAcentral's name for it is "bacterial SSU rRNA". It matches the Rfam family "Bacterial small subunit ribosomal RNA", at positions 917 to 1382 of the family's 1533-position model. Lineage: Bacteria; Bacillati; Chloroflexota; Anaerolineae; Anaerolineales; Anaerolineaceae. The record is from RNAcentral.